GUGGGGAAUAUUGGACAAUGGGCGCAAGCCUGAUCCAGCAAUACCGCGUGUGUGAAGAAGGCCUGAGGGUUGUAAAGCACUUUCAAUGGGAAGGAACACCUAUCGGUUAAUACCCGGUAGACUGACAUUACCCAUACAAGAAGCACCGGCUAACUCCGUGCCAGCAGCCGCGGUAAUACGGAGGGUGCAAGCGUUAAUCGGAAUUACUGGGCGUAAAGCGUGCGUAGGCGGUUUUUUAAGUCAGAUGUGAAAGCCCUGGGCUUAACCUGGGAACUGCAUUUGAUACUGGGGAACUAGAGUUGAGUAGAGGAGAGUGGAAUUUCAGGUGUAGCGGUGAAAUGCGUAGAGAUCUGAAGGAACACCAGUGGCGAAGGCGGCUCUCUGGACUCAAACUGACGCUGAGGUACGAAAGCGUGGGUAGCAAACAGGAUUAGAUACCCGAGUAGUCC
RNAcentral lists this ribosomal RNA (449 nucleotides) under uncultured bacterium. Its description in RNAcentral is "partial 16S ribosomal RNA". It matches the Rfam family "Bacterial small subunit ribosomal RNA", at positions 354 to 796 of the family's 1533-position model. The record is from RNAcentral.